UAGAUUACUGUAAGGAAAGAAGGGUAGCGGUCCCUUUGAGAAGGAUGGAAAAGGUCCUAUAUACAACAUAUAUCCAGUUAAGGCAUUCCUACCUACUUGUGGCUUCGAACCAUUUUUUCUC
This 121-nucleotide non-coding RNA is filed under the name Ornithorhynchus anatinus (platypus). Lineage: Eukaryota; Metazoa; Chordata; Mammalia; Monotremata; Ornithorhynchidae. The record is from RNAcentral.